This is a long non-coding RNA of Daphnia pulex (common water flea), 1211 nucleotides long. RefSeq lists it as uncharacterized. The record is from RefSeq and is a predicted model, not a curated record. NCBI's taxonomy places the organism in Eukaryota, Metazoa, Arthropoda, Branchiopoda, Diplostraca, Daphniidae. The transcript has 3 exons.
CAAAAAUAAAAAAACUCUUUAAAAAUUCAUCAUUAAAAAAUCCAAAUUCAUCAACUUUAAACUUAGAAAUUAUCACUGAAAUCGAUAGCGAUAUUGAAAUGCCUUCACAUAGUGAAAGCGAAGUAAACAUCAUUCAAGGAACAACAUCUAAGAAGAAAACUUUCAAUGAAAACAUGGUGCUUUUAAGUCUUACAACAAUAGCGGCCAAAGUGAAGAUGAAAAUACAAUAAUUAAAGGAAAGGCACCGUUGAAAAGGAAAAUUAAUACUAAACAUCCCCUGGCUGAUGAAUGGACUAGUUCUUCGGAAGAAGAAACAACAUUCAACCCUACAUUAUUACAACAGUUACCUGAAUACAUCCCCUUAAAAAGAACAACUCGAAAUCAUUCUCAAAAUAUCUUACAAAAUGAAAAGAACAUGAUGUUUUUCAAUGCGAUUCAUCAACUACAGAUGCAUCUACAAACGAUAGCGAUCAUCAAUUUCCAAAAAUAAGACAUAAAAGAAUUGCCAAUCGACAAAGAACAGGAAGAAUUGCGAAACCAGACGAGAGAGAUAGAAGCGGAAGAAUUGCGAAACCAGACGAGAGAGAUAGAAGCGGAAGAAUUGCGAAACAAGACGAGAGAAAUAGAAGCGGAAGAAUUGCGUUGCCAGACGAAAGAGAUAGAAGCGGAAGAAUUGCGGAACCAGACGAAAGAGAUAGAAGCGGAAGAAUUGCGGAACCAGACGAAAGGGAGAGAACUAAAAGAAAUAGAAAACAAAACCAAAAAGAAAGACAAACAAAAAUGUAAACCAGAAAAAUAGGAUUACAAAUAAAGAAAAUGAAUCUACGAAUGUUUCAGACUAGAAGAAUUAGUGAAACUAGACAAACUUGGCAUGUCAGAACCAGUUUCAAAAGAACAAUUAACAGAAAUAACAAACUCCAUUUACGAUCGAUAUCACGAAGAAAUUGUUUCUUGUGCAGUUUGUAAUCAGUUCAUCGAGAUUUCAAAAUCCAAAAUUUUCCCAUUUAACAAAUCGCCAAGAAAACUAUUUUCAUUUCUUAUACCACCAGAUGAUAGUGGUAACUCAGGAAAACCUUUGCAUCCAGAAAAUAGAAAACAAUAUGGAAUCGGCCCCGAGCGCUAAUGCAAUUCCACAAGGAUCGAAACGUUUUGCUCUACUAUCAAAACAUCCUGAGGCAGCUGCGUUAAAUUUUAAACGCAUUUUACAUAUU